CACUCUAGAGAGACUGCCAGGGAUAACCUGGAGGAAGGUGGGGAUGACGUCAAAUCAUCAUGCCCCUUAUGCUUAGGGCUACACACGUGCUACAAUGGGUAGUACAGAGGGUUGCCAAGCCGUAAGGUGGAGCUAAUCCCUUAAAGCUACUCUCAGUUCGGAUUGUAGGCUGAAACUCGCCUACAUGAAGCUGGAGUUACUAGUAAUCGCAGAUCAGAAUGCUGCGGUGAAUGCGUUCCCGGGUCUUGUACCCACCGCCCGUCACACCACGGGAGUUGGAGACGCCCGAAGCCGAUUAUCUAACCUUUUGGAAGAAGUCGUCGAAGGUGGAAUCAAUAACUGGGGUGAAGUCGUAACAAGGUAGCCGUAUCGGAAGGUGCGGCUGGAUCACCUCCUUUCUAAGGAGA
RNAcentral lists this ribosomal RNA (407 nucleotides) under Clostridioides difficile. RNAcentral describes it as "bacterial SSU rRNA". It matches the Rfam family "Bacterial small subunit ribosomal RNA", at positions 1136 to 1533 of the family's 1533-position model. Lineage: Bacteria; Bacillati; Bacillota; Clostridia; Peptostreptococcales; Peptostreptococcaceae. The record is from RNAcentral.